Molecule: ribosomal RNA, 2923 nt
Filed under: Klebsiella pneumoniae
Lineage: Bacteria; Pseudomonadati; Pseudomonadota; Gammaproteobacteria; Enterobacterales; Enterobacteriaceae
Description: bacterial LSU rRNA
Rfam family: Bacterial large subunit ribosomal RNA
Source: RNAcentral
GGGUUGUGAGGUUAAGCGACUAAGCGUACACGGUGGAUGCCCUGGCAGUCAGAGGCGAUGAAGGACGUGCUAAUCUGCGAAAAGCGUCGGUAAGGUGAUAUGAACCGUUAUAACCGGCGAUGUCCGAAUGGGGAAACCCAGUGCAAUUCGUUGCACUAUCGUUAACUGAAUACAUAGGUUAACGAGGCGAACCGGGGGAACUGAAACAUCUAAGUACCCCGAGGAAAAGAAAUCAACCGAGAUUCCCCCAGUAGCGGCGAGCGAACGGGGAGCAGCCCAGAGUCUGAAUCAGCUUGUGUGUUAGUGGAACGGUCUGGAAAGUCCGACGGUACAGGGUGAUAGUCCCGUACACCAAAAUGCACAGGCUGUGAACUCGAAGAGUAGGGCGGGACACGUGGUAUCCUGUCUGAAUAUGGGGGGACCAUCCUCCAAGGCUAAAUACUCCUGACUGACCGAUAGUGAACCAGUACCGUGAGGGAAAGGCGAAAAGAACCCCGGCGAGGGGAGUGAAAAAGAACCUGAAACCGUGUACGUACAAGCAGUGGGAGCACCUUCGGGUGUGACUGCGUACCUUUUGUAUAAUGGGUCAGCGACUUAUAUUCUGUAGCAAGGUUAACCGUAUAGGGGAGCCGCAGGGAAACCGAGUCUUAACUGGGCGUUAAGUUGCAGGGUAUAGACCCGAAACCCGGUGAUCUAGCCAUGGGCAGGUUGAAGGUUGGGUAACACUAACUGGAGGACCGAACCGACUAAUGUUGAAAAAUUAGCGGAUGACUUGUGGCUGGGGGUGAAAGGCCAAUCAAACCGGGAGAUAGCUGGUUCUCCCCGAAAGCUAUUUAGGUAGCGCCUCGUGAACUCAUCUUCGGGGGUAGAGCACUGUUUCGGCUAGGGGGUCAUCCCGACUUACCAACCCGAUGCAAACUACGAAUACCGAAGAAUGUUAUCACGGGAGACACACGGCGGGUGCUAACGUCCGUCGUGAAGAGGGAAACAACCCAGACCGCCAGCUAAGGUCCCAAAGUCAUGGUUAAGUGGGAAACGAUGUGGGAAGGCACAGACAGCCAGGAUGUUGGCUUAGAAGCAGCCAUCAUUUAAAGAAAGCGUAAUAGCUCACUGGUCGAGUCGGCCUGCGCGGAAGAUGUAACGGGGCUAAACCAUGCACCGAAGCUGCGGCAGCGACACUAUGUGUUGUUGGGUAGGGGAGCGUUCUGUAAGCCUGCGAAGGUGUGCUGUGAGGCAUGCUGGAGGUAUCAGAAGUGCGAAUGCUGACAUAAGUAACGAUAAAGCGGGUGAAAAGCCCGCUCGCCGGAAGACCAAGGGUUCCUGUCCAACGUUAAUCGGGGCAGGGUGAGUCGACCCCUAAGGCGAGGCCGAAAGGCGUAGUCGAUGGGAAACAGGUUAAUAUUCCUGUACUUGGUGUUACUGCGAAGGGGGGACGGAGAAGGCUAUGUUAGCCGGGCGACGGUUGUCCCGGUUUAAGCAUGUAGGCUGGUUGUCCAGGCAAAUCCGGAUAAUCAAGGCUGAGGUGUGAUGACGAGGCACUACGGUGCUGAAGUAACAAAUGCCCUGCUUCCAGGAAAAGCCUCUAAGCAUCAGGUAACAUCAAAUCGUACCCCAAACCGACACAGGUGGUCAGGUAGAGAAUACCAAGGCGCUUGAGAGAACUCGGGUGAAGGAACUAGGCAAAAUGGUGCCGUAACUUCGGGAGAAGGCACGCUGGUGUGUAGGUGAAGCCCCUGCGGGUGGAGCUGAGACCAGUCGAAGAUACCAGCUGGCUGCAACUGUUUAUUAAAAACACAGCACUGUGCAAACACGAAAGUGGACGUAUACGGUGUGACGCCUGCCCGGUGCCGGAAGGUUAAUUGAUGGGGUUAUCCGUAAGGAGAAGCUCUUGAUCGAAGCCCCGGUAAACGGCGGCCGUAACUAUAACGGUCCUAAGGUAGCGAAAUUCCUUGUCGGGUAAGUUCCGACCUGCACGAAUGGCGUAAUGAUGGCCAGGCUGUCUCCACCCGAGACUCAGUGAAAUUGAACUCGCUGUGAAGAUGCAGUGUACCCGCGGCAAGACGGAAAGACCCCGUGAACCUUUACUAUAGCUUGACACUGAACAUUGAGCCUUGAUGUGUAGGAUAGGUGGGAGGCUUUGAAGCGUGGACGCCAGUCUGCGUGGAGCCAACCUUGAAAUACCACCCUUUAAUGUUUGAUGUUCUAACGUUGGCCCCUUACCGGGGUUGCGGACAGUGUCUGGUGGGUAGUUUGACUGGGGCGGUCUCCUCCCAAAGCGUAACGGAGGAGCACGAAGGUUAGCUAAUCCUGGUCGGACAUCAGGAGGUUAGUGCAAUGGCAUAAGCUAGCUUGACUGCGAGCGUGACGGCGCGAGCAGGUGCGAAAGCAGGUCAUAGUGAUCCGGUGGUUCUGAAUGGAAGGGCCAUCGCUCAACGGAUAAAAGGUACUCCGGGGAUAACAGGCUGAUACCGCCCAAGAGUUCAUAUCGACGGCGGUGUUUGGCACCUCGAUGUCGGCUCAUCACAUCCUGGGGCUGAAGUAGGUCCCAAGGGUAUGGCUGUUCGCCAUUUAAAGUGGUACGCGAGCUGGGUUUAGAACGUCGUGAGACAGUUCGGUCCCUAUCUGCCGUGGGCGCUGGAGAAUUGAGGGGGGCUGCUCCUAGUACGAGAGGACCGGAGUGGACGCAUCACUGGUGUUCGGGUUGUCAUGCCAAUGGCACUGCCCGGUAGCUAAAUGCGGAAGAGAUAAGUGCUGAAAGCAUCUAAGCACGAAACUUACCCCGAGAUGAGUUCUCCCUGAGACUUUAAGUCUCCUGAAGGAACGUUGAAGACGACGACGUUGAUAGGCCGGGUGUGUAAGCGCAGCGAUGCGUUGAGCUAACCGGUACUAAUGAACCGUGAGGCUUAACCUUACAACGCCGAAG